RNAcentral lists this ribosomal RNA (451 nucleotides) under uncultured Pseudomonadota bacterium. RNAcentral describes it as "bacterial SSU rRNA". It matches the Rfam family "Bacterial small subunit ribosomal RNA", at positions 917 to 1359 of the family's 1533-position model. The record is from RNAcentral. Lineage: Bacteria; Pseudomonadati; Pseudomonadota.
GGACCCGCACAAGCGGUGGAUUAUGUGGUUUAAUUCGAAGCUACGCGCAAAACCUUACCGGCCCUUGACAUGUGACGUAAGGAGAUCAGAGAUGAUUUCCAUCACUUCGGGUGGCGUCAACACAGGUGCUGCAUGGCUGUCGUCAGCUCGUGUCGUGAGAUGUUGGGUUAAGUCCCGCAACGAGCGCAACCCUCAUCAUUAGUUGCCAUCAGGUAAAGCUGGGAACAUUAAUGAAACUGCCGGUGUUAAGCCGGAGGAAGGUGGGGAUGACGUCAAGUCCUCAUGGCCCUUAUGAGCCGGGCUACACACGUAAUACAAUGGUAGUGACAGAGAGCUGCUAAGAGGUGAAACUCGGAGCGAAUCUACUUAAAAACUACCUCAGUUCGGAUUGUCUCCUGCAACUCGGAGGCAUGAAGUCGGAAUCGCUAGUAAUCGCAGAUCAGCAAUGCUG